RNAcentral lists this small nuclear RNA (107 nucleotides) under Neotoma lepida (desert woodrat). Lineage: Eukaryota; Metazoa; Chordata; Mammalia; Rodentia; Cricetidae. The record is from RNAcentral.
GAGCUCACUUUGACAGCACAUAUACUAAAAUUGGAACAAUGCAGAGAAGAUUAGCACGGCCCCUGUGCUAGGAUGACACACAGAUUCAGGAAGCAUUCCAUAAUUGU